ACCCCGGUAGUCCACGCCCUAAACGAUGCGAACUGGAUGUUGGGUACAUUACGGUACUCAGUGUCGAAGCUAACGCGUUAAGUUCGCCGCCUGGGGAGUACGGUCGCAGGACUGAAACUCAAAGGAAUUGACGGGGGCCCGCACAAGCGGUGGAGUAUGUGGUUUAAUUCGAUGCAACGCGAAGAACCUUACCUGGCCUUGACAUCUGUCGAAUCCUGCAGAGAUGCGGGAGUGCCGCAAGGAACGACAAGACAGGUGCUGCAUGGCUGUCGUCAGCUCGUGUCGUGAGAUGUUGGGUUAAGUCCCGCAACGAGCGCAACCCUUGUCCCUAGUUGCCAACACGUAAUGGUGGGAACUCUAGGGAGACUGCCGGUGACAAACCGGAGGAAGGUGGGGAUGACGUCAAGUCCUCAUGGCCCUUACGGCCAGGGCUACACACGUACUACAAUGGUCGGUACAGAGGGUUGCGAAGCCGCGAGGUGGAGCCAAUCCCGAGAAAGCCGAUCCCGAGUCCGGAUUGGAGUCUGCAACUCGACUCC
Molecule: ribosomal RNA, 539 nt
Filed under: uncultured bacterium
Lineage: Bacteria
Description: bacterial SSU rRNA
Rfam family: Bacterial small subunit ribosomal RNA
Source: RNAcentral